CAGAAUUUGUAAAGAACUCUUAAAACCCAAUAGUAAAAAGAUAACCUGCUGAGUUUUAAGAGUUCUUUACAUAUUCUG
RNAcentral lists this microRNA precursor (78 nucleotides) under Cebus imitator (Panamanian white-faced capuchin). RNAcentral's name for it is "miRNA (ENSCCAG00000009783.1)". Lineage: Eukaryota; Metazoa; Chordata; Mammalia; Primates; Cebidae. The record is from RNAcentral.